GGCCGCAGUAUUUUGACUGUGCAAAGGUAGCAUAAUCAUUAGUCUUUUAAUUAGAGGCUGGAAUGAAUGGUUGGACGAGGUAAAUAUCUAUCUUAUAAUAAUUAAAUUUUGAAUUUAGAAGUUAAGUAAAAAUACUUAAAUAGUGUUGAGGGACGAGAAGACCCUAUAGAGUUUAAUAUAUUGAAUGUUAAUUGAGUUUAAUAAUGUAAUUUUUGGUUAAUACAUCAUAUGUAUUUGGUUGGGGUGACUAAAAGAUAAAAAUAACUCUUUUUUAUAAUAAAUAAUUUAAGUAAGUAAGAGAUCCACAAAUAGUGAUUUUAAGAUUAAAUUACCUUAGGGAUAACAGCAUAA
This 351-nucleotide ribosomal RNA is filed under the name Stenomantis novaeguineae. RNAcentral describes it as "partial 16S ribosomal RNA". Lineage: Eukaryota; Metazoa; Arthropoda; Insecta; Mantodea; Liturgusidae. The record is from RNAcentral.